AGAGUUUGAUCAUGGCUCAGAUUGAACGCUGGCGGCAGGCCUAACACAUGCAAGUCGAGCGGUAGCACAGAGAGCUUGCUCUCGGGUGACGAGCGGCGGACGGGUGAGUAAUGUCUGGGAAACUGCCUGAUGGAGGGGGAUAACUACUGGAAACGGUAGCUAAUACCGCAUAACGUCGCAAGACCAAAGUGGGGGACCUUCGGGCCUCAUGCCAUCAGAUGUGCCCAGAUGGGAUUAGCUAGUAGGUGGGGUAACGGCUCACCUAGGCGACGAUCCCUAGCUGGUCUGAGAGGAUGACCAGCCACACUGGAACUGAGACACGGUCCAGACUCCUACGGGAGGCAGCAGUGGGGAAUAUUGCACAAUGGGCGCAAGCCUGAUGCAGCCAUGCCGCGUGUGUGAAGAAGGCCUUCGGGUUGUAAAGCACUUUCAGCGGGGAGGAAGGCGGUGAGGUUAAUAACCUCAUCGAUUGACGUUACCCGCAGAAGAAGCACCGGCUAACUCCGUGCCAGCAGCCGCGGUAAUACGGAGGGUGCAAGCGUUAAUCGGAAUUACUGGGCGUAAAGCGCACGCAGGCGGUCUGUCAAGUCGGAUGUGAAAUCCCCGGGCUCAACCUGGGAACUGCAUUCGAAACUGGCAGGCUAGAGUCUUGUAGAGGGGGGUAGAAUUCCAGGUGUAGCGGUGAAAUGCGUAGAGAUCUGGAGGAAUACCGGUGGCGAAGGCGGCCCCCUGGACAAAGACUGACGCUCAGGUGCGAAAGCGUGGGGAGCAAACAGGAUUAGAUACCCUGGUAGUCCACGCUGUAAACGAUGUCGAUUUGGAGGUUGUGCCCUUGAGGCGUGGCUUCCGGAGCUAACGCGUUAAAUCGACCGCCUGGGGAGUACGGCCGCAAGGUUAAAACUCAAAUGAAUUGACGGGGGCCCGCACAAGCGGUGGAGCAUGUGGUUUAAUUCGAUGCAACGCGAAGAACCUUACCUGGUCUUGACAUCCACAGAACUUUCCAGAGAUGGAUUGGUGCCUUCGGGAACUGUGAGACAGGUGCUGCAUGGCUGUCGUCAGCUCGUGUUGUGAAAUGUUGGGUUAAGUCCCGCAACGAGCGCAACCCUUAUCCUUUGUUGCCAGCGGU
This 1126-nucleotide ribosomal RNA is filed under the name Klebsiella variicola. RNAcentral describes it as "bacterial SSU rRNA". It matches the Rfam family "Bacterial small subunit ribosomal RNA", at positions 8 to 1125 of the family's 1533-position model. Lineage: Bacteria; Pseudomonadati; Pseudomonadota; Gammaproteobacteria; Enterobacterales; Enterobacteriaceae. The record is from RNAcentral.